GGGGAUGUAGCUCAGUGGUGGAACAAUUGCCUAGUAUGCAACAGGCCCUGGGUUCCAUCCCCAGCACCACAA
RNAcentral lists this transfer RNA (72 nucleotides) under Heterocephalus glaber (naked mole-rat). It matches the Rfam family "tRNA". Rfam says of the family: Transfer RNA (tRNA) molecules are approximately 80 nucleotides in length. Lineage: Eukaryota; Metazoa; Chordata; Mammalia; Rodentia; Bathyergidae. The record is from Rfam by way of RNAcentral.